Long non-coding RNA from Oncorhynchus tshawytscha (Chinook salmon), 791 nucleotides. The record is from Ensembl. Lineage: Eukaryota; Metazoa; Chordata; Actinopteri; Salmoniformes; Salmonidae.
UUUAUUUACAGGUAAGUUGUUUUGAAAAAAAUAACUGUUUGUAGCUGUAUGUAAAUCACCAAAAAGAGCCGUUCGUUUUGCUCAAAGAUUUAUUGGUGGAAUGUUUAAUUACUCCAGCAUAAUUUCCGAUAAUCAUACGUAAUCUCUAUGCAACGGCACUGUUUCACUAGGACACCAGUAUGUUUUGUAAAGAUACACCCACCCCCAAACAUCUUCCUGCACUAUUACCUACAUCAUGUCACGUUUGACCUUUCUAGCUUCCAGUGGGCUAGCUACAGUUCAGUUUCAAGAGUUCCUCCGUCAUGUACUAAACUUCUACAGUACUCGCUGUAUAUUUGACCUCUCUCUCACGGUUCAAAUGUCUCAUUCUCUCUGGUCGUGCUGUUGUUAAAGUGUACGAACGCAGUACGGCGGCUGGACCUCCUAAACAAGAACUUUUCAUAUGUCUGAGACCAGCCCCUCACGCCUCAUGGAGGGGCAUCCACUGUUUCCACAGAGGGGAGCCAUGUUCUUGAGGAUUGUGGUUGACUGAGUGAUAGCUGUAGAUGGAGAAACUACCACGUCAUGUUCAUUAGAAGAGUUAGCUGAAGUGUCCUGCUCCCUGACAGAGGGAAAGGUGCAGAAGGCUGUGCAGUACGCUGCUGGGGACACCAGCAUCAAUGAAGAGAUGCAGGUCUUCCAGACCCCAGAACCUGUAAAAGUGCUUUGUCUCUAGCAUGGUAAACAAAUGUAAUGCAAAUCCUUAUUAAACUGACAUACUACUGUUCAGGAGUAUUACAUUUUCUUAUUUU